AACGCACCUUGCGCUCCUUGGUAUUCCGAGGAGCAUGCCUGUUUGAGUGUCUUGAAAUCAUCAAACCCUCGCCGUUUUUUGCGUGCGGGGUGUUCGGAGUUGGGGGCUUUGCCGUUCCGGCUCCCCCGAAAAGCGUCGGUCGCGAGCCUUGCGAUGCAGAUUUAGGGCGUUGUAACCAUCCUCGCUCAUCCGAUCUAGCUCGCGCAAACGCUCCGGCCUCGACCUGCCGAUCUAGUGCGGCGGUCAACACUUUCUGAAAUCUGACCUCAAAUCAGGUAGGACUACCCGCUGAACUUAA
RNAcentral lists this unclassified non-coding RNA (298 nucleotides) under uncultured fungus. RNAcentral describes it as "partial contains 5.8S ribosomal RNA, internal transcribed spacer 2, and large subunit ribosomal RNA". The stretch from base 1 to 52 matches the Rfam family "5.8S ribosomal RNA", at positions 103 to 154 of the family's 154-position model. The record is from RNAcentral. Lineage: Eukaryota; Fungi.